RNAcentral lists this unclassified non-coding RNA (200 nucleotides) under soil metagenome. Its description in RNAcentral is "partial contains internal transcribed spacer 2 and large subunit ribosomal RNA". The record is from RNAcentral.
GCAGUGGACUUGGACUGUGCCGUAGUUGGCUCGUCUUAAAAUGCAUUAGCUGUGCUGUGCGAUUUCGGCCGCCUGGUGUGAUAACUAUCUACGCCAAACUGUGUCGUCAUCUGUCGGUGUGGCUCAUAAUCGUCGACUUUGCUCGACACUACACUUAACGCUCUGGCCUCAAAUCAGGUAGGACUACCCGCUGAACUUAA